CAAACCAAGAUGGAGUAUGAGUGGAAACCUGACGAGCAAGGGCUUCAGCAAAUCCUGCAGCUGUUGAAGGAGUCCCAGUCCCCAGACACCACCAUCCAGAGAACCGUGCAACAAAAACUGGAACAACUUAAUCAAUAUCCAGACUUUAACAACUACUUGAUUUUUGUUCUUACAAAAUUAAAAUCUGAAGGUAUUUUGAUCACAACUAUAGCCUCCAAGGGAGAAUUGCAGAAUUGGCCUGAUCUCUUACCAAAACUCUGUAGCCUGUUGGAUUCUGAAGAUUAUAAUACCUGUGAGGGAGCAUUUGGUGCCCUUCAGAAGAUUUGUGAAGAUUCUGCUGAGAUUUUAGAUAGUGAUGUUUUAGAUCGUCCUCUCAACAUCAUGAUUCCCAAAUUUUUACAGUUCUUCAAGCAUAGUAGUCCAAAAAUAAGGU
Molecule: small RNA, 433 nt
Filed under: Pongo abelii (Sumatran orangutan)
Lineage: Eukaryota; Metazoa; Chordata; Mammalia; Primates; Hominidae
Description: processed transcript
Source: RNAcentral